RNAcentral lists this transfer RNA (67 nucleotides) under Caracara plancus (crested caracara). Its description in RNAcentral is "tRNA-Cys". RNAcentral also lists the same sequence under 1 other name. Lineage: Eukaryota; Metazoa; Chordata; Aves; Falconiformes; Falconidae. The record is from RNAcentral.
GGCUCUGUGGUGAAGUUCAUGUUGAGUUGCAAGCUCAUUGAUGUACACUGAGAGUGUACCGGAGUCU